This 1462-nucleotide unclassified non-coding RNA is filed under the name Hevea brasiliensis (rubber tree). Lineage: Eukaryota; Viridiplantae; Streptophyta; Magnoliopsida; Malpighiales; Euphorbiaceae. The record is from RNAcentral.
CUAGUUUAAUGCUCUGAUGUUGAUGAAUUCCAACCAGCAAUUAAAUUUGAGUCCCUGAGGCGAUGACUGUGAGAGUAUAUUUAAUAUGUACAUACGUACUAGACAUUUAGGGGAAAUAAAAAAUCACAAAAACUCAUACGUAUAUUUCUCUUGAAUUAAUCUCAAACCUUAGCCACGGAGGCCAAAUUAAAUCUCAUUCAUACAUUUCUAAAAAGGCUUGGCAUCCCGAAAAUCCGCCCAAAAUUUGUCAUUACACCAACUUUAUCUAUCUUCAUGAAAGAUGGAAGACAAAGCAAGGUAUAGGCACCGUUGUUUCCAUUCCAUAUUUUGCUUUAUCCACUCCUCUUUGAAUUUUCCUGCUCCUCGUGCUAAUGCUCUGCAGUUUGGAGUAAAUAUAGCAAAAAAUGUACUGGACAAAGCUGAGCAGAAGGAUUAAUAUUCCCCUAACUGCCUGCCAUAUUUACCAUUUACAACCCUGAGAACCAGCGAAACAUUUCGCUAAUCUCCUCCCCCACCCGAUUCUCUUCCACGUCGUAAUCUCCGAUGCUGGCAAUCUCGCUCCGGCGACUACUUCCAGUGAAGAACCUUCCAGAACUUCGAAACGAUAAAGCACGCGAUGAGAGAGAAUUCGAGAGCCUGUCAACGUAAUCCUUAAGCCAACUCCUUCCGCUGCCCACUUCGAAGGCUAGGUUCGGCUCUUGCGUCGACUGAUACACUGCAGCUCCUACUUCCUUGUCUGAAACGCUUCUUCUGUGCGUGUGGCUCAUAGUAACCUCGGAUUCUUCCUGCACAAUGUACUCGAAGGAGCCAACGGAAUAAGAACUUCGAGGCUCGACCGCGGGAUCGGAAGCUGUUUCACGGCGGCUGAUGGAGCCAAUCUCAAGGCGGAAGCUUUCUGCUGUGGCGCCAUCCAUGGAGCUAGAUAGCGCCUUCAAGAGGUCGGACUCGGAGGCAUGAAUUGAAGAUCGACAAAGAGGACACGUUUGAUUAGACUGAAGCCACGUGUCGAUGCAAUGGACAUGAAAAGCAUGGCAACAGAGCGGAAGGAGACGGAGUUGAUCCUGCGGUUCGAACUUGGACAAGCAGACGGCACAAUCACCGGCAGAGUUUGUGGAACGGCGUUUAAUGGAACUGAAGGUGAAGAGCGGGAGAGAAUUGAUGAGCGAGAAUGCAGGACUCUCAGGCGAAACACGAUUGGUGGAGUGACGAUUGGAAGAGGAGGAGGAUGUGGCGAUGUUGAUGGUGGGAGCGGAGGCAUGAGAGGAAGGAGAAAGGUGGCGGAGACAGCGGCGGUUGAGGUGGCGGAGAAGAAGACAGAGGGAGAUGGAGAGAAGGAAAGUAAUGGAGAGGAUCAAAAGAAUAACAAGGAUGCUAGGUUUAAGAUUUUGAAAAGGAGAAGUAUCAUGAUCAUGAGUAUCUUCUUCAGUGUUAUUGUUGAAGGGAAGAAGAGGAGGCAACGGCG